Molecule: ribosomal RNA, 1287 nt
Filed under: uncultured Halomonas sp.
Lineage: Bacteria; Pseudomonadati; Pseudomonadota; Gammaproteobacteria; Oceanospirillales; Halomonadaceae
Description: partial 16S ribosomal RNA
Rfam family: Bacterial small subunit ribosomal RNA
Source: RNAcentral
UAACAGAUCCAGCUUGCUGGAUGCUGACGAGCGGCGGACGGGUGAGUAAUGCAUAGGAAUCUGCCCGAUAGUGGGGGAUAACCUGGGGAAGCCCAGGCUAAUACCGCAUACGUCCUACGGGAGAAAGGGGGCUCCGGCUCCCGCUAUGGGAUGAGCCUAUGUCGGAUUAGCUAGUUGGUGAGGUAAUGGCUCACCAAGGCAACGAUCCGUAGCUGGUCUGAGAGGAUGAUCAGCCACAUCGGGACUGAGACACGGCCCGAACUCCUACGGGAGGCAGCAGUGGGGAAUAUUGGACAAUGGGCGAAAGCCUGAUCCAGCCAUGCCGCGUGUGUGAAGAAGGCCCUCGGGUUGUAAAGCACUUUCAGCGAGGAAGAACGCCUAGCGGUUAAUACCCGCUAGGAAAGACAUCACUCGCAGAAGAAGCACCGGCUAACUCCGUGCCAGCAGCCGCGGUAAUACGGAGGGUGCAAGCGUUAAUCGGAAUUACUGGGCGUAAAGCGCGCGUAGGUGGCUUGAUAAGCCGGUUGUGAAAGCCCCGGGCUCAACCUGGGAACGGCAUCCGGAACUGUCAAGCUAGAGUGCAGGAGAGGAAGGUAGAAUUCCCGGUGUAGCGGUGAAAUGCGUAGAGAUCGGGAGGAAUACCAGUGGCGAAGGCGGCCUUCUGGACUGACACUGACACUGAGGUGCGAAAGCGUGGGUAGCAAACAGGAUUAGAUACCCUGGUAGUCCACGCCGUAAACGAUGUCGACCAGCCGUUGGGUGCCUAGCGCACUUUGUGGCGAAGUUAACGCGAUAAGUCGACCGCCUGGGGAGUACGGCCGCAAGGUUAAAACUCAAAUGAAUUGACGGGGGCCCGCACAAGCGGUGGAGUAUGUGGUUUAAUUCGAUGCAACGCGAAAACCUUACCAGGGUUUGACAUCCUGCGAAUCUCUGAACGAGAGAGUGCCCUCGGGACGCAGUGACAGUGUGCAUGCUGUCGUCAGCUCGUGUCGUGAGAUGUGGUAGUCCCGCACGAGCGCACCACGUCUUUAGUGCAGCAUUAGUGGCACUCUAGAGAGACGCCGUGAUAACCGGAGGAGGUGUGGAUGACGUCAGUCAUCAUGCCCUUAAUCUGGGCUACAACGUACUACAUGCUCCGGACAAAAAAAAAAAGUUCGCGAGGCAGGCAUCUUCUACCCGUGGGUCACUUCUAAUUUAAGCGUGCACCUCCUCAUCUUAAAAGAAAUCUUUUUUAUUUCCAGGGUCAACAAACUGGGGGGAGGAAAAAUUAUCCGGCGGCGCUGUGGG